GUAAACACCAUCUCUUUGCAGUUAUCUGAGAGUGAACAACCAGAAACAUACAUACAACUUAUGCACGUGCAUAUAUGUGCAGACAUGUGGACAGGAAAGAAGAACACCUCCUCUUUAAAGAUUUUUGUACGCAUUUUAUGUCGCAACCUUAAAGUUGUGAUAAUUAGAGGUGGGGGGGAAAAAAAUGCGAUGUUGCCAGAGUAAAAAUCUUUUCACAUUUACGUUAUGAAUUUGAAACAUGUCAUACAGACACAAACGUGUGAUAUUGGAGGGAACAAAUGUUACGAGAAUAAAUAUGUGCAUCUCAUUUUGCAGAUUUUCAGAAUAAAUCAAUACAUUCUGAGGGAAAAAAAA
This is a long non-coding RNA of Hippocampus zosterae (dwarf seahorse), 354 nucleotides long. RefSeq lists it as uncharacterized. The transcript has 2 exons. The record is from RefSeq and is a predicted model, not a curated record. Lineage: Eukaryota; Metazoa; Chordata; Actinopteri; Syngnathiformes; Syngnathidae.